Molecule: ribosomal RNA, 254 nt
Filed under: uncultured bacterium
Lineage: Bacteria
Description: partial 16S ribosomal RNA
Rfam family: Bacterial small subunit ribosomal RNA
Source: RNAcentral
GACGAACCGUGCGAACGUUAUUCGGAAUCACUGGGCUUAAAGCGCGUGUAGGCGGGACGGCACGUCUGUCGCUGAAAUCCCCCGGCUUAACCGGGGAACUGGCGUAGAUACGACCGUCCUGGAGGGGCGUAGGGGGACCUGGAACUUCCGGUGGAGCGGUGAAAUGCGUUGAGAUCGGAAGGAACGCCCGUGGCGAAAGCGAGGUCCUGGACGCCUACUGACGCUGAGACGCGAAAGCGUGGGGAGCAAACAGG